UUCUUUUGAUCUUCAUCAAUUAGCCACAGAGAGCCUAAAUGAAAGCCAGGAGUAGAAUGAGGCAUUUCCCUAUAAAAGGGGGUAUUUCUAUUUCCAGGGCCCCUCAAAUUGGGGCUUCCUCGCCAUGUUUUAGGAUGAGAAUACACACGUCUAACUCCGUGUCCUUGCAACUUUUGCUCCCUGAAAUUUCUAAGAUUUGACAGGAACUGCUUUCCCUGGGCAUUUGGUUCCCAAGAAGGAUAGCUGCUCUGAAAACUGUAGGCAAAAUAAUUAAGUAGCAUGAGCAAGCAAUAUUAAGAAAUAGUUUAGGAAAACUACUUGCUAGUAGAUUGCAGAAUUUUUGUUUUAAAUUUACAAUAUAGAAACACACAUACAGACAGAGAAAAUGAUCUAAAUAACUGCAGAACUAACUGCCAUAUGGUCAUUUACCAAACACGUAUCUAACUUUAGAAUAAUCAGAAGUCAUGAUAGAAAUUAUGAUUUCAGAACACAUCAAAUGGGGCAGGAAGCAGCACUAAAAUCUAUGUUAUAAUUAUGAACGUACAUGCACAAGAUCAGCAUGGAUCAAUAAGUCACUUUAUUUUCUAUUAGGCCCUGAUGGCCUCUCAUGCUAGUUGGAAACCACUUCAAAUUAAUUAAGGACAUAGGACCCAGAAAACCAGAACUUAAAAAACCAGAACUUCUCUUGUUUGGCACCCAUAAUUUUCUGGUUUUUGGUUGUUGUCGUCCAAUAAUGUUAACUCGUAUAUAUUAAAAACAAUUGAUAAAUCAAGUAUAGACUACUUUCACGGUUUUCAUUUGUUGUUGCAACCUGCUUUUCUCUUUAAGGCACCAAGUAACAAAAACAAACACGUUUUAAUAAUACAAGUUUUUAAAAUUAUUGGACAACCACCACCAAAAAAGGAUGUAUACCAAAUGGAUUAUGUGUUUGAAAUUUUAACCAAAACUUUCAAUGAUAUCAUCGACUAUAGAGUUUUUAUGUCAACUGUGACCAUCUCCUAUUUAACAAUUAAUCAAAAGCUAUUUAUUUGAAAUCAUAACACAUAUAUGUAUAUAUAACUCAAUGUGACAAAGUGAUGAAGCAUUGGAAGAGAAUUAGAAUUUGGAAUUUUAUUUAUUGUAGAAUUAGGAAAUCUAGAAUUUUAUUAGGUUUAGAAUUU
This 1160-nucleotide unclassified non-coding RNA is filed under the name Hevea brasiliensis (rubber tree). Lineage: Eukaryota; Viridiplantae; Streptophyta; Magnoliopsida; Malpighiales; Euphorbiaceae. The record is from RNAcentral.